GCAAUACACAAUGCACCAGGUUCUCUUCUGAACUUUCCAAGAGCAUGAUACAGAAAUUAAGUUCUGAAGAUAAAUUCAUUUCCCCUUCUUUUUUUUUGGACCAUUGCAAAAUUUUGUCACACAGCCCAAUAUAGAAGAUGACCAUCAAUGGAGGGAACAUAAGCACAGGCAAUAUUCGUUAAUAGAAGAUGAUGAAUCUCAGCUGUAAGUUCUUCACCCAAUAUCCAGAAGAAAAAUACAUUCGGCAUCAGCAAUGAAGGGGAUACAAGUUUAAUUCUCGUAUAGUUGCAGAGCUACAGAUGAUUGUUUCUCCUCUAUUAUAGCCAAAUACAGGAAUAAUGGUUCCAACUUUAUUGAAACAACAGACAUUCACUCAGCAGCUAUCCAGAUGCUAAAAUAUCAAUCAGCAAUUCUCACUAGAAGAAAUGGAAAACAGCAA
Long non-coding RNA from Rhododendron vialii, 439 nucleotides. RefSeq lists it as uncharacterized. NCBI's taxonomy places the organism in Eukaryota, Viridiplantae, Streptophyta, Magnoliopsida, Ericales, Ericaceae. The transcript has 2 exons. The record is from RefSeq and is a predicted model, not a curated record.